RNAcentral lists this long non-coding RNA (4904 nucleotides) under Sus scrofa (pig). RNAcentral's name for it is "lncRNA (ENSSSCG00000063285.1)". The record is from RNAcentral. Lineage: Eukaryota; Metazoa; Chordata; Mammalia; Artiodactyla; Suidae.
UGCAUGUAGAUUUAAUGGGCUUAUCUUUUAAAAAGUAUGUAUUAUAUGAUAUAGAAUCUGUGAUGAAUUCAUAAUUUCACCUGUUAUGUUUCUUGGGACUUGCUCAAAAAUGUAUGAAGACAAAAAUAUUUUCAUACCUUUAGGAUGUUUCCAGGCCCAUUCCAGAAGAACUUAAAGUUCUGCUGAGGGGUUUUUAGAUUUGUGAAGAUAUUUUUGUAUCUUAUAUUCAGUGAGUUUUACAGUGAUACUGUCUUCAUCAAUUCUGAUUUUAUUAUGUUUUUUAGUUGCUAGUUUACAAUACCAAAUAAAUAAAAUGCUAAUUUCCACCUCAGAAAACACAGUUCCUGAGAAUCAUCAUAUUAAACAUUGACCAAUGAUUGAUCAUACAGAAAUAAUGAUAAAUAGAUGAAUAAAAGGAUUAACAUAAGUGAAUUUUAAUAAGCACAUCUUCAUUACCCUAUAAUAGACAUUUUUCGGUAUAAGUAGAUUGAAUAGAUUGGCACCUGAAAAUCCGUGUAUCCAAAAAUAACUAUAGCUGAACCACUGAAAAAAUAUAUUGAAAUCCUCUGCCCUAGUCUCUGUAAUAAGAUAUUUUAAUUGUCCAAAAUCUAAUAGAAUUGCUUCAGGCUUCGGGUUUGAAUUUUCAAUGCACUGUCUAAAAGAACUUCAAGACUAAAAUGUAGCACAUUAGUUUUUCGAAAACAUUGUGAUUGAGCACAUUAACUCUGGUGAGUACUGCUGAAGAAAAAAGAAAUGGGUAGAGGAAUUAAGAGAAACAUAAAUGUUUUAGGUAAAAAAAAUUACUUAAGGGAAGUCAUUACAGCACUGAAUUCCGUUCUGGAAUUUUGAACUGAAUACAAGCAAAAUACAUUUAUACUCCGUGGAGUUAUUUAUCAAUAAUUAAUGAAAUUAUUGAUGUGUUUUAGUCUGUUCGGGUGGCCAUAACAAAAUACCAUGGAGUAGGAGUUUAAACAACAGAAAUUUGUCCACAGUUAAGGAGGAUGGGAAGUCCAAGGCCAGGGUGCCAGCAGAUCUGAUUUCUCGUUGCGGACUCUCUUCCUGACCUGCAGACAACCACCUUCUCUCUCAGUCCACACAAGCGCAUGUGAGCACGAAAGAGAGAGAGAGGCAGAGGGAGAGAGAGAAGAAGCAAGCUUUGUGGUAUCUCUCUUUUUUUUUUUUUUUUUUUUUGGUUCCCAUAUCAAUUUUUUUUAAGAUUUUUAUUUUUUCUAUUGUAGUUGAUUUACAGAUAAUUGGGUUUUGAUGAGACUAAGCCUAUCAUGAGGACCCAUCCAUCCUCAUGACUUCAUCAAAACCCAGUUGUCUCUCAAAAGCAUCACAGUAGGGCUCAGGGCUUCAGUAUGAAUGGGGCAGGGAGGGGGGAGAGGACGCAAUUCAGUCGUAACAAUUGGCUUAAAAGAGUAAGUAUAUAACAUUGAAAGGUGUUAAACUUACAUAAAUUUAUUUCCACUGAUAAGUAGUCUUUUGAUAUUUGAAAAUUUUACAAUUGCCUUCUUGAAGAAGACAAAAAAUGGCAUGGUCUGGAGUUCCCAUUGUGGCUCAGUGGUUAACGAAUCCAACUAAGAACCAUGAGGUUGUGAGUUCAAUCCCUGGCCUUCCUCAGUGGGUUAAGGAUGUGGUGUUGCCAUGAGCUGUGGUAUAGGUCGGAGACACGGCCCAGAUCCCGCAUUGCUGUGGCUCUGGCAUAGGCCGGUGGCUACAGCUUGGAUUAGCCCCUAGCCUGGGAACCUCCAUAUGCCGUGGGUGCAGCCCAAGAAAAUACAAAAAUACAAAAAAAAAGGCAUGGUCAGUUUUUUCACACUGUAAAUCUAGUUAUCUAAGUAAAUAGGUACUUUUUGUCUGUAUUGUUCAUUAUUAUAAAGGAUAAACAGAUUAUAUUUCAUUAUAGGUCACAAUACUAAUAUAAAGACUAACUCAGAUAUAUUUUUCCUUCUCCAUUAAACACAUAUUUAAUUCCUCAUUUCCUUUCUCCUUUUUUUGGAUCCCCUGUUUACAAUUUCAAUUAUCAAAUAUAUUUUAUGAUUCCUAACAUUUACAAAAAGAUGAAAGAAGUAGAAAAUAAACUGAGAAGAUAGAACACUUAAUUUAAAAUCGGGGUAGGAAACCAAAGAAUUCUGAAUUUGAAACCAUUGUUUAAAUCUCUAAGUACAGAAAAAAAAUUUUUAAAUAUGCAAUGAUAUUACAAAUUAGUGACUGGAAUCAAUGAAAUGUUAAUAAGGUUAAAAUUAUUCAGAUAAAGUUUCUUUUAAAACCUUUUAAAUUGUACUCAGAAAAUUUCUCCCAUUACUACAAGUAAUGUACAUUAAUAUAAAACCUUUUCUCUCUCUUGGAAAAAAUUAAAAGACUUUGAUAAGGCAUAAUUUGCCUUCUGAUAUAGAAACAAGAAGCCUGGAAUUUCUCUGAUUAUAUACUUAAUGGUAUCAAUAUAUUGUUCACUAAUAGUUAAAUUAUCACCAUGGGUCAAAUUUGGUCUUCUAGCUGUUUUUAUAAACAAAAUAUUAUUGGAAUAUAGCCACACCCCCUUAUUUAAGUACUGCCUAUGGUUGCUUUCAAGCUGGAACAGGAUUUAGUACUUGUAACAGACCUUCUGGCCCUAAAAUAUUUGCUCCCUGCCACAAAAAGCUUAUUGACAUCUUGCUCUAUACUAAUAAAAUGCUAGCUUAUGCAGAGAACAGAUCUCCUCUAUUUUUUCCAUCAAGCAUAGUUGAAUUGGAAAGAAUGCUUACAUAUUUUUCCUUUUUUCAUAUUGCUAAUGCAUUUUUCCUUUUACAUUGUUUUUACGGAUUCAGGUAAUCAUCUCUGCAGUUGCUUCAUGUAACACUUUACCUUUGAUGGAGAUCUGCUGCCUCUUACCUCUGGAAAUUCCGUAAUUUUAAUGUCAAAAUUUGGGGAUUUAGAGUAACUUCUGGUAGAAGGCCUUAAAAUUCUGGUCUAGUAAUAUGUAUUCCUUGACAUCUGGGAAAAUCCAGGACAGUUUCUAAUGGCUUAACCACACGUUCCCCACCCUCCUUCCUUAACCAAACAAAUGGCCCUCCCUAUUACAGGGACCAGGCACAGUUCCUGAUUGACCCUGGAUAGGAAGCUUCAACCCCAGCCAGCCUCUGGAAUUAGUCAAUCACACCAAUUUCAUCCUCUUGUAGGAACUGAGAGCCACCUCCCCGUCUUGAUACUACGAAGCCUGCCUCCCAUAGGCCAUGUCAUUCGCUCUGAUUCCAGGUGCAGCCCUGUGUGGUCUCUCCAUCCCAAGCUGUGAGUCUGUGUAUCUAAUCUACUACUAUAGGUCUCAUCUGUCUAGUGACAACCAACCUCAUAACCCUAGGAUGGGACUCUCCCUUCAUCAGUGGGGUGAAGAGGAGGUGAUUAAAACACAUCCCCAUACCAUUCUUUGCAACAUUUUCAACUUUCAAGCCUCCAGAAGUUGGAUAACAUAUACGUAUUCUUUCUCGUUUUAGUAAUCUGUUUUAUCAAAAUUUCAGCAAAAUUCACAACAUUUUGCUCAGGUCUCUUUCAUAAGAGUCCUCUUUAUAGCACUUAAAAAGUAUUUUUAAUGCCCAAAGUCACUAAGCAAACACUGGCAAAAUAACUGUAAUCUAGAUCUUCCAGUGUAUCUCCCCUGUCACAUUUUGAAAAUUUUAAUUUCAGAACAAACCAUUCUUAUCUACACGCCUUUGCAUCUAAGAGACUGGUUUACAUUUGUAAGAAAAUUCUGCUGAGAAAAAUAAAGCAGCGUUAUUUUCUUAACAGUGGUAGUUGAGUUUCAGUGUAUACUUUUGGUGAUAUCUAUAUUAGCAUGCUCUUAAUUUUGAACUCUGAAAAAGAUAAUUUGGUUUUCACAGUAUCAUCCAAGACCACUGCUGCGGUCAUGUCAGCUUGAAGUUUACUUAAGUGUUUCUGAAUAUGAAUGCCAUGGAAGCAUUCUAGAGGCUGCUUUGAUUUCUGACAGUGUGGAUAAAGUAGAAAAAGAGGGGUGUAGGACCAGGGAAGAAACUUGGCAGAGGAUGUAUUUUCCAUAAUCUCUCUUUUCAAUAUUGGAGAAGUAAAUAUGCAAAGAAUUCAGAUAAUGGGGAAAUUGCACAUUCUAAAAUAAUGAACUUUGGCUGCCUUUGGAAAGAACUUUCUUAAAAAAAUAUAUAUAAUUUAAGAUGGUAACAAAAAAAACUUAGACAAUGACUACGUCAAUGCAAAUGCCAAGGCAUGCUAGCUGGAACAUAGCAGUGAUGAGGUGAGGCUCUGAGAAAAGGAGACCCACUGGGUAAGGAGACAUUAGGUAACAAUGGCUUCUGGGAGGGACAGAGAGCAUUCAAAGCUUCUUUGUGCCUGCAUGGAGGGCAAGGAGGUUGGCUGAACUGAAGAAGUGUUUAAUUCAAACAAGGAGCUGUAGCAAUGGAUGUUGUGUGAACUACACCAGCAGAGCAUGUAUAAAAAUUGAAUAUUUCAGCAGACACCAGUGUUUAAAUGAAUGAUUCUAAGGACAGGAUGUGGCAAAGCACAUGGAUGCAAAUUUGGACAGACAAGGAAGACCAAGGAUGAAAUAAUAUUUCAACCAUCCUCACUCCCAUUAUCAUGAGUCUAGAAAACAUACUAGGAAGAAGCCAGUAGGGGUCGAGAGAAGUGGGGAUAGGAUUGGACAAUUCUAGAAAGAAGAGGGAGCUUGAAAUUAAGACAUUCCUGAAUGAGCAAGAAAUAAAUUUCUUGGAGUUCCCAUCAUGGUGCAGUGGAAACAAAUCUGACUAGUAUCCAUGAGGACACAGGUUCGAUCCCUGGUCCUGCUCAGUGGAUUAAGGAUAAGGCAUUGCCGUGAGCUGUGGUGUAAGUCACAGACAUGGCUCAGAUCUGGCAUUGCUGUGGCUGUGGCAUGAUUUGAUCCCUAGCCUGGGAACUUU